Molecule: ribosomal RNA, 253 nt
Filed under: uncultured bacterium
Lineage: Bacteria
Description: partial 16S ribosomal RNA
Rfam family: Bacterial small subunit ribosomal RNA
Source: RNAcentral
UACGUAGGUGGCAAGCGUUGUCCGGAUUUAUUGGGCGUAAAGCGCGCGCAGGCGGUUCGUUAAGUCCGAGGUGAAAUCUCCUGGCCCAACUGGGAGAGGUCUUCGGAUACUGGCGGGCUCGAGGAGAGCAGAGGUGAGUGGAAUUCUUGGUGUAGUGGUGAAAUGCGUAGAUAUCAAGAGGAACACCAGUGGCGAAGGCGGCUCACUGGGCUCUGCCUGACGCUGAGGCGCGAAAGCGUGGGGAGCGAACCGG